GACGAACGCUGGCGGCGUGCUUAACACAUGCAAGUCGAACGGAAAGGCCCUGCUUUUGUGGGGUGCUCGAGUGGCGAACGGGGGAGUAACACGUGAGUAACCUGCCCUUGACUUUGGGAUAACUUCAGGAAACUCGGGCUAAUACCGGAUAGGAGCUCCUGCUGCAUGGUGGGGGUUGGAAAGUUUCGGCGGUGGGGGCUGGACUCGCGGCUUAUGAGCUUGUUGGUGGGGUAGUGGCUUACCAAGGCUUUGACGGGUAGCCGGCAUGAGAGGGUGACCGGCGACAUGGGGACUGAGGUACGGACCAGACUGCUACGGGAGGCAGCAGUGGGGAAUAUUGCACAGUGGGCGGAAGCCUGAGGCGGAGACGCCGGGUGCGGGAUGACGUCCUUCGGGGUGUAAACCUCUGUCGACGGUGACGAAGCGUGAGUGACGGUAAUGGGUAAAGAAGCACCGGCUAACUACGUG
RNAcentral lists this ribosomal RNA (468 nucleotides) under uncultured bacterium. RNAcentral describes it as "partial 16S ribosomal RNA". It matches the Rfam family "Bacterial small subunit ribosomal RNA", at positions 28 to 507 of the family's 1533-position model. The record is from RNAcentral.